Molecule: long non-coding RNA, 642 nt
Filed under: Anas platyrhynchos platyrhynchos (common mallard)
Lineage: Eukaryota; Metazoa; Chordata; Aves; Anseriformes; Anatidae
Description: lncRNA (ENSAPLG00000026970.1)
Source: RNAcentral
AACAGAUACUGCAUUUCUACAGGGACACCAGAAUAGGACUGCAACUGCUGUGAUCACUCACCAGCAUGCCAGACCUGGACUGCCCUUCUCUGGCUACACACUUUCUGUCCUGUCCCCUGAUGCCCUAAUAUUCUCAACACUCCUUCUCUUGGACAAAAGGAGUUGUCCUCUUCUGCCUCUGCUAUGCCCUAGUCUCCUUUUGCCUCUGCCCCUACCUACCACAGUCCAAGGAUUCCUGGUACACAUCUACAGAAUUUCUACAGUAGCACUGCCAGCAUUACUUGAAGAUUUAGCAAUAUCAGGGAACUGUAUAAGGGAUGGCAGCUCAUCUUCUUCCGGAAGACAUCUUAAGAAUUUAUAUUGCAUUCUUUCAUUGAGGUACAUAUAACCAGAGGGAGAUGGCUACUUUCAAACUACAGAAGUAAGUAUGUUUAUUUUUUUUUUCUGCCAUAUGCUGUAAUUAAGAAAAACCUGUAUCUCCAGCCUUUUGAUGGAGAAAAGCCUUGCUGUUAAAUUAAAUGUCUGUUCCACUUUUUAGAGGAUCUGGACUACAUGACUGUGAUGCUUCUUCUAAAUUGGAGUAAAGAUGAUGCAUUUGUCUAGGGCAAUAAAACUGAAUCUUGCAGGUGAUUAUUUUAUUGG